This 700-nucleotide ribosomal RNA is filed under the name uncultured Bacteroidota bacterium. Its description in RNAcentral is "bacterial SSU rRNA". It matches the Rfam family "Bacterial small subunit ribosomal RNA", at positions 74 to 770 of the family's 1533-position model. Lineage: Bacteria; Pseudomonadati; Bacteroidota. The record is from RNAcentral.
GUGUAGCAAUACAUGGGCGACGACCGGCAAACGGGUGCGUAACACGUACGCAAUCUACCCAUUACAGGGGAAUAGCCCAGGGAAACUUGGAUUAAUACCCCAUAUUAUAUAGAAGUGGCAUCACUUUUAUAUCAAAGCUUCGGCGGUAAUGGAUGAGCGUGCGGUUGAUUAGAUAGUUGGCGGGGUAACGGCCCACCAAGUCUACGAUCAAUAGCUGAUGUGAGAGCAUGAUCAGCCACACGGGCACUGAGACACGGGCCCGACUCCUACGGGAGGCAGCAGUAAGGAAUAUUGGGCAAUGGACGCAAGUCUGGCCCAGCCAUGCCGCGUGAAGGAUGAAGGUCCUCUGGAUUGUAAACUUCUUUUAUCUGGGGCGAAAACAACUCUUUCUAGAGUUCUUGACAGUACCAGAGGAAUAAGCACCGGCUAACUCCGUGCCAGCAGCCGCGGUAAUACGGAGGGUGCAAGCGUUAUCCGGAUUCACUGGGUUUAAAGGGUGCGUAGGCGGGUUAGUAAGUCAGUGGUGAAAUCCCCGAGCUUAACUUGGGGACUGCCGUUGAUACUAUUAGUCUUGAAUAUCGUGGAGGUAAGCGGAAUAUGUCAUGUAGUGGUGAAAUGCUUAGAUAUGACAUAGAACACCAAUUGCGAAGGCAGUUUGCUACACGAUUAUUGACGCUGAGGCACGAAAGCGUGGGGAUCA